UACGGGGGGGGCUAGCGUUGUUCGGAAUUACUGGGCGUAAAGCGCGCGUAGGCGGAUUGUUAAGGCGGGGGUGAAAUCCCGGGGCUCAACCCCGGAACUGCCUUCGAUACUGGCAAUCUGGAGUUCGAGAGAGGUGAGUGGAAUUCCGAGUGUAGAGGUGAAAUUCGUAGAUAUUCGGAGGAACACCAGUGGCGAAGGCGGCUCACUGGCUCGCUACUGACGCUGAGGUGCGAAAGCGUGGGGAGCAAACAGG
This 253-nucleotide ribosomal RNA is filed under the name uncultured bacterium. RNAcentral describes it as "partial 16S ribosomal RNA". It matches the Rfam family "Bacterial small subunit ribosomal RNA", at positions 524 to 776 of the family's 1533-position model. The record is from RNAcentral.